Non-coding RNA from Osmia lignaria (orchard mason bee), 31369 nucleotides. NCBI's taxonomy places the organism in Eukaryota, Metazoa, Arthropoda, Insecta, Hymenoptera, Megachilidae. The record is from RefSeq and is a predicted model, not a curated record.
GCUUCGCUCCAAGAGAGAGAUGUUUUUGUCCUGCUGAGAGGCAACAACCGACGGCUCGGCCUCAGCAUCGACGACGAGGCGACGAGGCGACCAGCCGACCAGACGACGACAACCUUCUCUCCUUCCGUUCUUCAUCAAUUUUCUGAAACUUUUCUCCUGGCAAAUCUGGUUAAGUCGUUGACCGACUUCUCUUCGACGCUCUACUGCUAUUAUUAUUCGUUUUUUUUUUGCCUUUUUUUCUUACUCGUUUCGGUGUCGUCCAACAUUUUUAACGAACGACUCCGAGACAAAGAUCGAGUACCUGUUGGACGACCGUCAAAGUUAAGUCCGGUUUUUAAAUUAUGUACCCAGUCGAAAGGACGACUCGGGUCAACUUUCUGAAACAAUGCUCGUCUGACCUCCUGUUGCGUUAACCCUAGGCAACAGUCUCGCGAGAAAUAUUUGUACAAAAAUGUUCUCAUCUUCGCGAACGACCCUUGCUCGACGAACUUCGUGUCGUUUGAGUGCCAGUUUGGCAAAGAAUCUUCGUAAAAUGAUGCGGGAGAAAAGUUUUUCAGCUACGAGGUGAAAAUUUAUCAACGAUCUGGAAAAGUCUUAAAUCUAGCUACGUUUUAAGCCAGCGAAAAUCUGUUGAACACGUCUGUUUCGUAACUCGAUUUAAAGAACACCACCGCAUGCUGAAUAACGAAACAGGCAGCGUUUUUCCGAAUUUCCGGUCCAGCAUCUGAACUUACGUGACCUUAUUUCGUGAAAGCUCCUGCACGCAAUACUCAAAAAGUUUUUCGCGUCUUUCAUCGUCUGACUUGGUCGACGUUAUUCUCCAUUUGUCCAGCCGUUUGUUCGUGUCUCGCAUUGCUUGCUAGAGAACAGCUCUUAGUGGCCAUUUCCUAGAUUAAGGUCAGCUGGAAAGCAAAUAGUUGUUAGGGACUAGAGAAAGAGAAAUUCCCUCUCUGUCCGUCGUCGACUGAACUUCCUGUGUAUUACAGUGUGUAUACGUUUCUGGAAAACUAUUUGCGCGCGAAACACCCGUCGCGUUUCAGAAAUACCGGAGAGAUACGAGCUGCUGAUGGCGAGAGAGAAUUGUUCCGACUUCUCCUUCAUUUUCACCUAAACCUCCUUGUUUCACAUCCACCGAGAAACCUUCGAAACGAACCUUCUCAGUUGUUGUCAGAGUUACGUGUUUAAUGCCUGCUAGUUUGUCUUUCAUUUCUGUCUGGCGAAAAGUUAACCCACGUCUAAUCGCUAUUUUAUUUAAAGCUUUUCCUCUCUCGUCCACGUCUUCCGUUCUUUCAUAAACGAACCACCCUAGAAAUAAAAGUGGGAAGCGAUUUGCUUCUCCAGUUGCAGAAAGGGUCGUCGCCAAAAGUUCUCAACCCCUUCGCCACCGAAGGUAUUACAAUUUUCUUUCCACCCGAAAAUGUCAGCGCCACUUCUUUCAAUUGCAGGCUGCGGUUAGCGUAUUACAGCCACGGCCGCAAGAAGUGGCACACUCGAGAUUUUAUUUUCGUGCGGGGCUCGCCAGAACGGGUCGAAAACGACCGCACUAUCGUGUAACCCUUUAAACUCGGGGAUAGCAGUUUCGCUCGCCCAUUGACCCAGAUCCAAGGCUGGAAUUUCACCGAGCCACGAAAGAUACUCGCCGGUGCAAGACCUCGACCUGCAACCCUUUUCAAAUUAAGGUCACCAGAAGGCUGGUUGCGUUUUACUUUUUUAUCCCCUAUAUUCACCCUCGGGUUGGUCCGUUUCGACGAGACAUCGAUUAGUUUCUCGGUUCGAUAUCGAAAGGAAAAGUUACUUUGGAGUAGAAGGGAUGAAUUGAUCGCUGUGAUCGUAGGGCAAAUAAGAUUAUCUGAUGGAAUUUUAAUGGUGAGCUCGCGUGGCCUCCGUGACGAGCAACCCUCUACUGCUCAAAGCGAUCGUAAAGAGCGCUGUUCUGUCGCUUAAUGCCCGAGUAAAUUCGACCGCUUGCAACCCCCCCGUCGCAUGGGGGUUGUUUGCGCGUGCCUACGUAGCCGACGUAGUCGACGUGUGACGUCGGCUAAUCUACAACUCCACGAAUUUACGCCCUUUGAGUUAACCAUGCUAUGGGUGUCUCAUUGUAUUUUCAGUGACAAUUUUUUUUUUUUUUUUUUAACAAAUAUUAUUUUGAAAUUCAUCGCAUUAACGUCUGCUACUAUGUACGAGUCGGAUAGAAUUUUGUUUUCAAAGGCACGGAAUACCUUGAGAAGGUUUUCGUUUUAUGCAACCAGUCUCCUCGACAUCCACUCGCGUCGCGUCUCUCAAAUUGGGUUGACAGUCCCGUUCGCAUGUGAAAACGGUCGAGUAGCCAACAAAGAGAGCCGUCUUGUUGCUCUCGUUCGAAAAAGACAGCGCCAACGUCUUCGAGGCGCCAUUGCGACGGGAACAAGAAGAAAAUUUGGAAGUGCAUCGGGCAGACUGGGCGCCUAAUUAAGAUGGGGUCAACGAACCUCGCGAUCCGCGACGAGCGAAAUCCUUUACCAUCUUUACUUAUCUGUUAUUCAACCUGUACCAUUUUUCUAUGUUGCGCUAUUUUUUUCAUCGACAGCAACAGUUUCGCUAAAACAGUAUAGCAUUAGCAAUUUAUCGGACCGAGUUGUCACUCCAGCUGUUCGGAUAAUCCGUAUCUCGCUAUACCGCAAUUUAAACUUUAGACGUGAACUUUAUUCAUUACCUCCCAUUUAACCGUAAUUCGCGACAAUGUACGAGCGAGUCUCGGUUUCAAACUUUCUCCCGCAAGAUUGCAUUACUUCACUCCGUUUCCUUCUUUUUUUUUUAUCGGCGCAACGAUGAAGUAUCUUCCGACAAUAAUGAUAAUAACUAUCAUAAUAGUAAUUUACGCUUUCAUUUUUCUUCUUCUAAUUAUAUUCAGUUGUAAGAAAUGUACGGUCGUCGAAGUGUCAAACCGCAAACUCGCGACGCGAAAGGCGGCGCAACGAAACGAGCCAGACCCUGGCCAAUUACCAUCCUCGUUUACGCCUGUACACGCUUUAAUACCAACGAAACUAUUAUAAUCGUAACGCAACGUGGAAAGAGUAAACCUACGGAGAGGACAGGACGACGCGACUGGUCCAGUCAAAAGUGGCUUCGUUUCGAAAGGAUUCGUAAUUAAGCGGAAUACGGGGAGAGAGAAGGCUUGUCCGCGCUUUGAUCUCGCUUCGCGACUUGGAAAACACACGCUGUCGGAAGAUCGCGUUUGUCACAGUAAUUCAUACUCGCCUUUAUUGUCGUUUCGCCAUUUAAAACCGUGUUUGCCUGUUUAUUAAGUUGACAAAAUAUUUGAAUCAUAAAUGGCUCGAACGUUCAAGCGGGUGAUACAGUUUUACAUCGCUUCUUCAUUUUUUCAAAUAGUACUUAAUGUUUAAGUAAGGCACGAUACAAACAUCGUUAAAGCGAUUAAAAGAAAAAGAGGAGGAAGCAACAAGUUUGAAAUUUAACAGCGACAAAGUCAGAAACGUAGUCGAGAAUUGAAGAAAGAGAAAAGGAUAAAGAGGAGGGAGUAAAGUGUCGCGAAAAGCGAACGUUCGCGACAUUUCUCAAAGCGUGCGACCUCUGCCUGCUCGCCUGUUCGCCUGCUGCUCUUUUUCCGCCCGUUUCGUCCCGACUUCUUGUCUCGAGCUUCUCCUCCUGUUUUCUUCCCGGCCAGAACUUGUGCUGGCACGGUGCUGUUCGUUGCAAGUGGCCGUCAGAUAAAACUCGCCCAACUGAAGUCCCCGGACGCUCUCGCGUGAACUUUGCGCGUUCUGCGAGCGAUAAGAGUAAGGACGUCGUGAAAAUUCCGAGCCUUCGAGGCGACACGAACGCGCUUCCUCUCCCUUUAUGUUUUACUUUCAGCCUGAUAAAUUGUUUACUCAUCCGGGCGAACUUUCAAAGAGACCCGCUUCGCCCUCCUUGUCCCUUAGCGAUCUCAUAAUGACUGGUUCUGCCUCUUUUCCCUUUUAUUUUUUAUUCCUUCCACUCUUUGGGGGGACGAGCUUUACUUGCUUGAGAAACUCAGUCGCAGUUUAGGUGAAAAAAGUACAAAUUUACCGCGAAAGUUUCAGUCGCGUGGUGCCUUCAAGGAAAUCCUCGAACAAAAUUCGACCAAUUCGGUCUAGUUUAUCAAAUUCAUGACGCAAUUACCGACACGUAAAUUCAGUGGAAACAAACAAAUUUUCAAGCAUUAUUCGUUAGUUACGGAAGUGAAAGAGGAAAUUUACGACUGGUAGAGAAUAGAAAUGGUCGGUCGGUAGCGGAGCGAUCGCGACGGGAACGAAAUAUUGAACGGGCUGAAACGGAAUUAAUAUUUCAUAGGUAGAAAAACAAUAACGCAGCGGCCAGCACGGUGAGCCCCCGGACGGGUCGAGAGCAGAUUUAAUUCCUUAAAAGCUAGUGCAUUUCGAGAUCCAGCUUUUACCCGGCACGUUGGGCAUCCAUUUGCUUUACGCGGGCACGCGAGAGAUAACGAGAGCUAGUCGCGCAUCUCGCGGCAUAAAUUUUUCUCUAAUCAAAAUUUGUCGGCGGGAAGGAAAAUUUCAACGACGUGACAGAGGGUUAAAAAAAAUUUAAUCUUUAGAGUUCAUAGAAUAGAAAGUAAACAUAAAUUGUUAGGCGAUCAAGAGUAUCGUCGAGUCGAUUUCUCACGCAUUUUUCACGCAGGCCGAUCCUUGGUGCUGUUAAAAAUGGUCAGAUCCAUCUUUCCCCAGCUACGAGCAUAAAUAAUAAGCGCGAUCAUUUACCUGGCUGCCGACCGAAUCGUUAUUAAUGGAUUUUCGGUAAAAGCAACGCUCUUUUUAUAUCACCAUCGCAUAAAUCGUUUUAUCCCCGAUAUGACGCUAUAAAUAAUUUCGUGUCUGCGUUUUUUCCACCGUCUGGUACAUUCACCAGAGCACCCUCUCGUUUAACGUACUUCCAACUUCUUUCUCGUCCAGGAACUCCUGCUUUUUUUAAACCUUUCUACCGUAUGAUUUUCUUGUCAAUUCAGCCCGUUUCAGCUAACUAGUCGAUUUUUCAUUUCGGAAAGAUGGAAUAAAAUAUUCGCGCGUGACUAUAGAAAAGGUGUCUGGAGGUAUAAAAUCGAGGGGAAAAGGAGAGUGGUUGGUUGGGUAAAGUGGCAAAGUUUCUCUCGACAAAUCCAUCUGUACCCGGGACCCGUGUCUCGCUCGCGACAGACAAAAUGUCGUAUGAAUAACGGAGAGAACGGGCGAUCGAAAAUUCCGUGGAACUCUCGAAACGACUGAGAAACGUUAGGGAGAAAAACGACACGUUGCAAAGUUUUCUUCACGGUUCUGACGAUCGCGAUACGAAAAGCUGGCUGUUGAAGAGAAAUUGGAGAUAAAGGGAACGGGAACGCGUGUGAACAUUGAUGUACGAGAAGUAGAGAAAGGAAAGAGGGACAUAUUUAGUUUUAUUUAUGGUGAGCAUAAAACGUCGGACGUGUAUGAAUUAUUAAGCUGUAUUUAGGGGGUAUACCUACUCAGAUGGGCUGAAAUGUGGAUCAGGAAUAUAACUGAUGAACGAAAUGUUAUCCUGUGGACCGUAUACAGGUAAAUGUAACAAAAGAUCGGAUAACAAAAAAAUAGAAAAAAAAUAGCCCGUGAAUUCGUGCAUUUCGAUUAGUAGCGGUAAUCGAUGCUACCUGUUUCGCGAACACGAGCAACACAUCACGAUCAAAUUAAAUGCAAACAAUUGCUCGCCGCUACGCGAGCGUCGAUGGAAGAGCCAGUUGAAAAAAAAAAAACAAAAAAAAAAGGAAAUCGGGCUGCUUCAUGAAUAUUCCACGGGACUCGGUCGCUCUCUCAUCCUCUGCCAUUUUUCAAACGAUCGAGGCAAAGUACUUUGGUACGUUGCCAGAAGUGAAAGAGCCCAAACUACACGCCUAUUCUCCAAAGACAUACCUGAUUCCUCGCUUAUUAUCGGUUCGUUAGUCUCAUCUGUUAUCAGCGAAUGGAACGGAAAGAUGAUUUAAGAGAUAAGAAAGGAACUCGUCGUUUUGCGGCUGAUUACUCGAGGCGUUUACUUUUCUAAGUAGUAAGACUCGACGCUAAAGCAGACGGUUGUUUUAUCUCGGCUUCUGAAACACGUGCCAGCAGACCUUGAUCGCGAAUCAUUCGGUAUCGAACGCGACAGAUUCAGUGAUUAUUAUUGUUAUACAAUUUAUAUCUGACAGGUUGACCGGACGACGAGUUUUUAAUUUGCCUUUCCGAUUUCGCAAGGAUCGCGGACGGGCCAGGGGUCGCGUCGACGUAUUUUUAUUUUUGUUUCCCUCAACCCUCUCGGGUCACUCUUCGCCGUACUUUUUUAUUUUCCUUCUCUGCACGGCCAUUUAGCGAGGAAAUUUGUCGGACGGUGAAAUAUCUCUUUUGUUCUCCGCUGCGACAGCCGGCUCUCGAUUAUUUCGCCAUCGUCCCGGCAGCGAUGCUCGCACCACGAAAAUCUCUCUGAUCCGUUCCACGCUUCUAUCCUCUUUUCUUUUAUUUUUCUAUUUUUUUUUUCUUUUUUGUUUUUUUGCAAACACGCGCGCGCGAAAUCUUCUCGCUCCCUAACCGUUGUUUCGAGAGCAGGACCGGGAAUUCAGUCGCGCCUCUGCAGCGUAUUUUUCCGCCGGAAGGAUCGACUUUCCAAUUAACCUCCCCGUCUCGCCAAUAUAAUAUUCAUUUUUUCGCUUAACACCCACUGCUUUCGAUUAUCUUGUCUUUCGCGAAAGAAUUUUUCAGUGAAAUAUUUCUAGCCAUUUUCUGGCUACGUUAGCGAAAUGAUAAAAUUAGAGCAUUCGGAUGGGCUGCAACGAUCGAUUUAUCUGGAAAUCUGCAAGGGAUAGUAUCGAACACUCAUCAUUAUCCACGUUAUUCCGCGCGGUUCGGUUCAAUCUAAAUUCGCAUUAUUGCCGAGAAGCUAAACACGAUACAUUCUGCGAUCCAACACCUAAUACGGGUAAUUCCGGUUUAUUAGGCCGAACCGCAUUAGGUUUCCGGCUUAUUAGCUCGGAACCGAGCACCUUCGUGUCCAUCGUUCGCAAACAAGUGCCUCUUUCUCUCUCCCUCUGGACGAUCGUUCAUCGAUUCCGCUUCCGCGACCUCGUUGGCCCGGUUUACUUCAUUUUAUUCCACCGUUCCACCUUCCCGACUAGUUCGAAACGAUGCCACGUUUCGUUCGCCACACUGCCAGAGAAAGUUCCUUUUGAAACCGAGACAAAUCGGAUUCCACGACGGGACACCGGUAGUUGGCCAAGUUUCCAACGUCUGGCAAACACGCUUUCCUCUUCUUACUCUCUUUAGACCACGCGAUGUAUUCGCCAUUAGGCGCGAAAUCUCCCACCUCGACACCUUUAAUCUCUUGCUAUCCUCUAUCUCCUAGCUUCUCUUUAAUAAAUUUCAUUGAAAUAUAUUAAAAUGCCGAGUAAUAAUUUCAUCGUGGAUCGAAGAGGGGCGGGAAGGAUUUUGAAUUUUCCGUAGAAGGCGCAACGAGUCGUGUUGGAGCCUCUUUGAUCGUAGAAACGGAGACGACAUCCAUUCUUCUUUCAACAGAGCAGAACGAUUUAGGCCCUCGAGCGUUCCCGAAAUUCCACAAGGAAUUGCUCCUCCCUCCUUCCUCCUUCUGCCUCGUUUCGUCUCGGUAACUCAUAACGAAAUGACGGAGUGACUCGUCACCGACGUUGCUCCCCUUUCCUCCUGAAUUUUCAUUUCUCUUUUUUCGCUUCUCCCGAGAACUUGUUAACGCGUUCACUUCCAGCCUGACGUACGCUUUCGAAAAACUUCCCGUGUUAUAUUUAAAAAGCAAUUCCAAUAUAAAAUUCAAUUGACCUAAAUGAUUGGUAUACAACACAGGAAUAUUGAAACGUGGAAUACAUUUCUUUAAAUAUUCCAACGUUUUCGAUUCUCCAUUCGACAAAAAUUUAUUGGUUUUUCGCUUUUCGACGUUUCCGCUAAAGAAACGAGCGACCGAAAUUCUUCAGGUUGUCGGCGUUUUCAUUCACCGGGAAAUUGAGCAAUAUUUUUUCCCGCUAAAAGCUACGCUGUCUGGCGUAAUCGACAAAUUGCAGCGAACAGCAUAGUCCAACCGACUGUGAAGCGAGCAACGCGAUUUCGAGUUCCUUAAGAGUGUUGGCGAGCGGUUGUAACAAAUUUGCUCGACUAAAUUGCUUCCAGGAAGCGAAAGCUGCACCACUGCUUUCAUACCCGUAGGAUUAAUGUUCUUCUGCUGUUUAAGAGACGGUUAAAUGUAUGUAUAUUUACCGACUAGGCACAUUCGUUUAUACUUCAACAAUUUCCGGGAAUAUUAAUUUGAUUAGUACUUGCUCAUUACCUCGGCUCAGAUUUCCUACAAUUAAGUUUAUAUUUCGCUUAAGUUCAAUUCGGUACGCGCUCCAUCGUGUCGUAUAUGCUUGACUGUUACUACUGCGCCGGUCGAUCGAUUAGAUUCUUACGCGUUUGUGGCUCGUGGUAUUCCCUUAAGGCAGAAUUUUAAUUAGUUAAGAGGAAGCAUUCUUUAAUAAACACGAAAACGAAACGAAUCUAAUAUAAUCACAUUUUGUCUCAUAAUUAAAAACAGUAGUUUUUAAAUCUCCCUUCAAGCUGCCAGCGUGAAAUAACGCAAUGCACAUUUUCUGAGCUUCUUUUUCACUUUAAUAAGUCAAAGUACAACUGAAACAUCGUACUCGUUGUUUCGCAAUUACUGUGAAACGUAAAACCGCAUACGCGCAUAGAGAUUUCUUUGCUACGUUGCUGGGUUUUAAAUCGAUCCACGAGAUCUUCCCAGCUUCUGUGUUUAUGCAAAUGUCGGGCGCGCGUAAUUCGAUGUUAGAACGUAGAGAUAUAUUUAACCGUCAUCGGGUGUUCCACGAUGCUAGGGAACGACCCUCCCUCGAAAUAAAGACAGUAACGCAGGAUUAAUUUUGUUUUCCUAGCAGCCUGUUAGCCGACACUAAAUUUACCGAUCGUUCGUCGCCGGAUUCGAACGCGUUUCGUUGGACACCUAAUAUUUCUCGAGCUGACAACGAUAACCGGCGACCAUCUUGUACACCAUUUCCUUUUCUUCUUUUUCUCAACGUCCCGAGACACGCAACGCAUCGUUCAAGAUUUGCCACACUCCGGCAUUUUCGCUCUUUUAUUCCACGUUGGAAUAACACGAAAACGCCUCGAGUAAAACCGUGCAACGACUCCUCCGGUUUAUUUUAGAUUUUCGUUCGUCGCCUCCUCUUCAUUCUCUUUUUCCAUCUGUCCGCUUCUCUUACAUCCUUUAUCUCUUUCGCACUUGCCACGAUUUUCUCACUGCCUCUGACAAACGCUCGGGGCAGAUUUUAUAUAAACAAAGAUCAUUUUGAUGGGAGAAAUUUUGUAUGUUCAAUUUCGUGGACUUGAUUAGAUAAAUUUAAAGUGUAACAAUCAAGGAGAUGUUCGUAUCGAAAUAAUCAGAGGCAAGGACAACAGGAUUUUAUGGUAGUUUGACAGGCUUUAUACCGGGUAAUUCAAAGUUCUGGAGAUUUUACGCGAAAGCUAGUCCCAGCUCGUGCAUGUUAUAAUAGAGCGAGCUAUGAAGAGCAGUAAAUUCCGAGUGAACGGGAGACAUUAGCCGGGAAAUUAAGAUCCUGAUGGCGUCUGGACGAAUAAAAUCGUCCAUUCGGAGUAGGAGAGACGGAAUGGUCGAACGUUUCCUCCGGUCAACAGGGAGUUAACUUCUCGUUUUUCGAUGUGUUUGACGACAGAGACGCCUUGUCGUCGUCGUCGUUGUCAUAUCUCGGUCUUUGUGUUUGUACUAACCGACGCUGUUCUUCUCUUUCCUAUUUUCGGCGGCUAAAAACAAUACGAUCCGGCGUUGUCAGACGUCCAGAGUCGUUUCAAAUUCCCAGACACGUGUUGUUUAUUUUAUAGCUGGUUAAAGCAACGAACGGGUGAAUGAAUUUAUAAUUGAUUGAAUUAUCGCUCUUUAUACGCCAGGAAUUAACACGUUAAUCAUCCGUGGUGACAAGACAGAGAUAGGAACGAAAUUCCUUCGAUCCAUCUUUGUUUCUUUGCUGAUGAUUCUCAUUUAUGGGGACGAUAAAGUUGCCACGUUACGCAAGAAGCUGGAUUUCAGCUCGAAGCCUUAGCUUAGCCCGAAGAUUGCUCUAAUCCGUUGAUUUACGAGCCGCUGGUUGUGUUACAUUCUUUCCUCCCGAGCCUAAUAAUCGAAGUGGUUUCCGCCUACAAUUAAACGAAUCCCUCCGAUUUCUUUUCGGUAAGAUUUAUCGAGUUGGCACACAGUGCGCGUAUAAAGGGAUACUGCUCUUAAUAGGCAUCUAUUUAUUUAAGCAAUUUCACGAGGUUAUAUUUGAUGAAAUUUACAAUCCGACAGUGUUCCUUAAGGUGUAACUUGCACGCUAUAGAGCGACAACAAGAUUAUCUUAUAUUCUCUUCUGAAUGAACAAUUACCAGGGAACAAGGUCGCAGGAGAAUUGAAAGAUUCAGCGAAAGGGCUGGAACGUGGUGUGAAAAUCACAAGACGUAGCGGGUUAUCGAGAGCCUAUUUGGAAAUUCGAACACGACCAGUGAAUAUUUCAAUCGAGUGUCGAAUAUAUCCUUCGCUACGAUUUACCGUGCGAUCCGUGUACGCGUUCCUAAAGGAAUUUAAAAAAUUCACUCGACGUCCUACUGUAGGUGGCUCGUCCCUUUUCCAGCUGCCCUCUCGACCGAGUCUCGAGUAUCGAUUCGGCGAGAGAAUGAACGCUUUAAUUAGCCUGUUACGUGAUCGACGACGAGGAACACGCGAAUUUAACUUUCAUGCCUGCUAGAAAUCUGCCUCUCUUAAUUUUCAAACGCUCCUUUCCUUCACCCUUGCGAUAUAAACGUGAGAAUUGUCGAGGAAUUAAAAAUAAUGCAUCUUCAGAGGCGCAUCGUACGGUACUGUUUUCCACGGUGGUCCACGCACGAAGCCACGAACUGGCUGAAAAGACAUACGACUUGGCUCGUGGUAGAGCAUACGGGCGUUCGCGCCUCUUCCAGUCACUAUUAUUAGUCCUAAUAGACCAUAUGUCAGGAGAAGGAGGUCGUCGUUGCCCUCUUGUUCGCAACCGAACGAGCCAGAAACAACGACAAUUUCGACUCUAAUAAAUCGUGAUCCUUUGUGAAACACCGACGAAACUUUACCAAAGAUCUUAAUAUACUUGAAAAAAAUUUCACUCGAGAAGCAUCAGAAGAGUGGAAUAACAAUAUUCGAUGGGUUCAUGAAUUUUUGAUAGUAUACAACAACAGAUUUCCAUCGAGGGAACACGGUAAGGUAGUUGGUUAAGGAUCCCGUGUCGCGUUAACGUCGAUCGAGGUUUCUCAGCGUGUCCCUAACUCCAUUAAAGCGUCUCUCGGUGUUCUUUGAAAGUGCUUUGCAUAAAGUAGAAGCCAUUGCCGUAAUGAUGAUCGACGUUACGCCGCGUCCCCGGCCGAUUUCGCGAAGUUAUAUUUGAUUUAAUUAGCGGAUAUGAAGGUUAUAAAUCGUGGAAACGAGAAACGUCAAGCUUAAUAAGUGGUCGUGUUAAGUAAGUGAACCGGCAUUAUUCAACUGUCUUUCUUACAAUUAGAUCCGGUGACGGCCAACAAUGUCCGGAAAUAUUUGGAAAAUUCUUCAAGGAAACUCUGCCCUAACGAACUUGAUAUUCAAAUGAAAUGAAAUGAAAUGAUAAAGAAUACAUCCGAUAUGUUGUCACCCCUGUAGCGGCGGUGAUUCGUCAUCGAAACGCUUCUUGAGCCGACGAUAAUUCGAAAUCGUCGUUCGUUCCGCGUCGCGACGCUUAAGCGUAUCGGUGGAACGCGGCAUCCGGCAUUAUCGUUGCAUGAUUUACGCGGCUCCGUUUCACCGUUCGCUCGGAAAUUUAAUGCUAGAGCUGAGAGAGGAAGAGAGAGAAGGCGAGAAAUGGAAGCGCGUACGCGGGAAAACGGCCACGAGCGUUCACGGAAUCGCGAGCCGAAUACUGAUGCAUCACGCACACGCUGAAUAUAUCCUAUGGUCCUAUACUACCGAUUACGCGCAAUCCUGCGCUCCCUGAACGCUCGUACGUUUCGCACGCGGUGUUCGUUGCAUCCUGAUACUCGUUUGUUCGAGAAUUGUCGCUUGUAAACGAGUCGCCAACAACGCAAUUGUAUUUGUUUCAAUCGAACCGGUCAGGAUUUGUACUAUGCAACGGUGGAUAGAAAUUUCACGCUUUUCAACCACGUAUCCAUCUUAGCUCGAACUAUGUUUUUGUAACGCCUUAUACGUAGGUUGUAUCGCGACGAUGAGAUUCUUGAAGCGUUCAUUCUAUUACGGGAAGUUUGAGAGGCGCUUUAUGGUUUCUCGUUAAUGAUGUUUACUUCUUCCAAACAUCAGAAUCCCCAGACGUUGCCCUCUUACCAUGUAAGAGGGAUGGAAGUUGAAAAGUUUGCUAAAUAUAACUUUACUAGCGAGUUAUACGAGAGAGCAGCGGUAGCUUUCGUCCAACAGACAGCUUUCCUUCAAUUCAGUCGCUCAGCCUGCACGCGGAUUUCCUCUCCUUCCCUUUUAUCGCCUUUAAACUUCGAAUGGCCGCUUUUAAACGCAGUCACAUCUGGUUAACUCGUGACAGUGAGAAGUCGGCAGUUAUUUCGAACCGCUGACAAGGUAUAAUCAGCGAGAAGUUGCACCAUUUUCAAACAGUUUGCGUGUAUACACCUUAAUGGUGGUUAACGAACGAUAGCGACUCGAAGGAUCUACAUAAUUAGGAAACUAAAGUUGCCGUAUUGUCCAGCUUGAAAAGCUUUCGUGUAAUCCUUGCUCAGCAAGAGUGUCAUAAAUCGAAUCUGUUUCUCCCUGCAUCGGAGAAUGCAACCAGACGGUGGAUAUGUAAAUGAAAAGAGGGUGAGAAAUAAGGUAGGGUGGUGUCGUUGAGUUUCGUAACGAUAGAUUUCGCCCUUCGUUCUUCUAUCCCCGCUUGCUUCGGUUAAACGGGUAACCGCGGCGCGGCGCAUCCAGGAUUACAUCGUGUAAGAGGGUGGCUGGGAAACCCUCGUGAAAGCUCGACGGGUGAUAAAUAAUCAGAUUAAUGAAAAAUAUUUCCUCGCCGCAACGACGAACCAGGCGACCCUCCUGCAAAGUCCCUUCCAACCUUACACCUGAUCCUUGCAGAACAUUCGCUUUUCCUUCGCCAAUCAUACUAAAAUCGUGGAGUGGCCGCAGGGCUUCUUCGGUUUCGCUGAAAUUUCAGUAAGCCCAACCUUGGACAGUUUCGCUCGAUCCGCUGUUCAAUAUUUCAGAGCAAUUAGACGGUGAUACAGAUCCGACCUGGCGUGAAUUAUUAAGCAAAAGUCUCGAGUGAAACUAAACCGUGGCUCGAACGAGCGGAUCAUCCAUUACUUAACGUCCGUUAACGCGUUUCGCCUGUAAAACGCACCACCGGUAAGCACCCACCCAUUUGCCACCCUUAAUCGAAGGUACACGAUUCGGGUUCUGUGUUUGGACCUCCGUAUUAGCCGAUUACCCCCUCUGACAAGGGUUCGAUCCUAUCUACGAGGUAAACAAGACUAGAGCUCCGCGUUUCGGUGUUGCUUACCGAAAAUGUUAUUAUUGCGUCUUGAUUGCAACAUCGGAUCGUUAUUACAAUAGAAGAUAUCGCGCAAGAUUGCGCGAGUGAAUUUUCUCUGGACUAGCAAGGAAGCCAAGGUAACGAGCUAAACGAGAAUUUAAUCUAGAAAUUCAAAAUUACCAUGGCUGUGGAUGUCAGAUUUCUCUGAUUCCUCGAGAGCUAACUGAGAACAGUCUGACUUGAAGUUACGAAAUUAUCGAAGCUGGUUCGUCGAGAAUUUCGUUAAAAUUAGUUUCUUCGGUGUCAAUUAGAAAGUUCCCUUCAAAAUGAUAUCCUGGCUAACAGGCAGUUUAUAUUAGCAGGCGAAUUGCGAUGAGACGCGGUUGAAGGAAGAAUAUUUCACUCCGUACCAACGAUUUAUCCUGAAAAUGGAUUUUCUCUCCGUUAAAAAUAUUUUGAUCUCACCAAAUUCUUGGUCCAUCGAUCGAUAGCGAAGGAAGAUGUGUCUUCGUGACGACGGUGAAUGAAAAUAUACACACCAGAGACCGAAAGUCAGGAAAUUUCUUUUUUCUUACAAGGUUUCUUCGGAGAUAACAGGACAGUAUGGCCGCAUUAGUCCUCGUGAUCUAUCACUUAGCGAGCUACCCUCGAGACUCGAAGGUAGGGACAGUUUUCGCGUGUGCCCUCUUUGCCUGUCGGUGAACACGUCCUUCGAAAAUCCUUGCAACUUUUUAAUUCUAUCUCGGUUGACCCUCGUUGAUCAUUCUGUCAGCUGUAUCGAAAUCAGUUCUCCGUGAAAAACUUUCAUCCUGAAACGGAAGAUUUUUCCCUUGUUCGUGUUUCUGACGAGGAUCGAAUCGAUUUGAUCGACGCGUGUACCCUUAACGCGAUUCAAGGUAAAUACCUCAAACGUCGACUGGAAAAUUUAUUAUUUUUUACAAACAUCGAUGGGAAAUGGAAAGAAUAGGUAAAAAAUUUGUCAGAUUGAAAGAAAAGACGGGAGAACCGAUCGAGGCAGCAGCGAGUCCCUGUUUCAUCCCCCCGGGACUUUCACAAUCGGGACAUUUUUCUCCGUUCCUCCCUGUUUCUUCUCGUCAAUGACGCAAACUGAUGUAUGGCUCGUGAUUGGAGUGAGUGAACAUACACGAAGGGAAUUCUCGUAUCCCUCGAGGGGGAGGCUCUGGUCGCCGCGACAUCCCGUGGGAAAAACUGCGCAGCUUUCCCUCCGCAUCGGGAAAACCUGUACACGGUCUGUUGUCGAAUUCGGACGCGCCUACUCGUUAAUUGAAUUCUAUCAAUUCUUUCUUCCAUCCCUGUAACGCUACAACUUUCGCCCCUGCGACUGAUGGAUAAUCAAUUUCCUUCUCUUCUAUUCUCUCCUUUCGAAAUAUGGAAAUAUCAUAUGCAUCGGUCUAGCGUCAACGAUGCGGAAUGAUUCGACUUUAAAAAUUAUUGGAUACGUACAACAUCGCAAGAUUCGAAGUAAUUGCCCUUGUUGGUCGUAUCUGUUGAGCCAAGUAUCCCUUCGCAGCCCCGAUGUUCCCUUAUUUACAGUUACGCAAGCAGAGGGUGCAAUCGAAACCAGUAAUAACCUCGUUAACGUCCAGCUCGAGUUGCCAUUUCUUUCGUCCCUUUUCACUUGUCGACUCUCGUCGCGAUUCCCAAGAGGUUUAUGGAGAACUUCGAGGCUGGUUAACGUUCGAUGAAAUUGAUAUAUCGUCGAAGGGAAGGGGCUGCUUGAGUGCCUCUUUACACUCGUUGCUUCGAAAGUGCUACACCAUUUUUUUUAUCGAUUACAUUGUCUAACGAAUUUCAUAAUUUUAUAUGUAUAUCAUUUAAAAUAUUAAGCCGCGUUUUACCGCAACAAAAAACAAACGCAAAGCAUAUUCGAAAGCUGUUAUUGGAAAGCAAGCCGUUGGACUAACGACGGGUACACAAUGGGCUGGGAUGGCGCAAAUAAUUUUGAAGGCUCUUGAAUAAACAGAAAUAAAUGCGCGAUAGAUUAAGGGCCAUAGUGAACGGCGUGCAAUUUGAUCGAAUGGAUAAAUGCCGUUCCGAAAAUGAACGACUUCAUUUGUUUGGCCGUACUUACGAGCCGUUCCUCGUGCACUCACACCUACACCUACAUUGAUUUCAUCGUAGAUGAGCGUGUGUCGUGCCAAGCGUAGAGUGGUGCACGCUCGGCCCGGCUUAACGAGCUUCCAGAUAAAACACCGAAAACGUCGUCGGGAUUAAUUAAAUAAUUAAAACGGGUAAUUAUCUCGACUCGACCAUCUGCCUACGUGGGCCGACGGGCAAAGUGGAAUCGUUAGGCUGGCGAACGCUCGAACCUGUGUACCCUAGUUUUAGAGGGUAACACGAGAUCGGCCGUGCUCGUUAUUUCAAUGAAAUUCUUUUUACAUGGUUAUUCGAGUGAUAAAUUGUCGUAUCCGUGGCCGAGGGAUAUUUUUCAAUCGUUACGCAAACAAUGCGCGUAGAAAAUAUUUUCUACGUGGUUUCGAAACAAAAAUUCCACGAAAUUUUCCGCUAAUUGUAAGGGAUCGAUAUCUUUCUUUUGGUUCGCUGCAUCCUCUACCAAUGAAAUAUGAAACUUUUACAGAGAACCUAAAGGGGAAACAAAAUGGCGACAGGGAAGUUUGACGUUGGUACGCGAACAGGCUUCGUAAAAUCAGUGGCGAAUAACGUAGCUACGCGGCAGCAUAGCGGAGUAAUUAAUUGAACAUUAAUAAAGUCGCGUAGCGAAGGCCGAAGGUCGGCCGAAAUUUAAUAGAGGGCCGGAUAUUACUUGAGCUCUCUGGCAAAAGGGAAACGGUUCUUUUCCCGUGAACGAAAUCAACGUCACUUCCUGCCUCGAUGUUUAUUAGAUGGCAUAGCGAAAGAAAAGCACGCGAACGUUAAUGAGUCAAUUAACCGAUGGUUGAUUGGCGAAUCAAAAGGAUACGUCGUUACGAAGAAACGUCGCGUCGGUCUAUCAAACUCUUUUCUUCAUUAACAAAAUUAGGGAUCUGAUUUGUUUAAAAUUUGUAAGCAGCUGGUGUCUGUUUAGAGGCGCAUAAUUUGCUAUAAUACGAGUCUAGAGAUAAAGGGUGAAAAUUUGGCACGGUGGAGAAGCAAAUGAAAUUCAGCUGUGGCGAAUGGAAAACAAUCGUGGAAGUGGAACACAGGUAAUCCAAGGCUCGAAAUUGAUAUUACGCUCUCUCAUCGAGAUAACGUUCGAGCUCAUUAAGGGAGAAAAAUACGCGGUUGUUAAUGACUUUAUCGGGAGGAAGGGAGGGGUGGGUAAGCGUGGUUUCCGGCAGCCACUAAGACGCCGCAUCGGAAGAUUUAAUCGCUGGGUAUUUAGCCGUUUCUCUCCCUCGAAAAGAAAGAAAAAACGAAAAAGGCCAAGAUUAAUGGCCUCUGCGCGAGAAGCUGCAACGCGAAUUUACAUCGCGACGCGUUCUUUAAGAAAAUUGCUACCCCUUAUUCCGUGGAAUAUUCUUUCAGCAAAGAUUUCCGCUGAGGAGUGUACUUUAUGGAUUUAAUUUAUCGGCUUUAUUUUCAUUUCGUAUCUUUAUGUAUCCGUUUUUGAAACACGCUUUGAAAUAGCUCGUUCGCACCAUUUAUAUACGCGAACGAUGCAAACUUUUGCCUACGAUAUUAGCUCUGUGAACUGUUACGAACUCCCAUCUUUCGUUUGGUAUAACAGAAAUUACAACGUCGAGGAAACGAAGCAAAACUAACAGGGAAAAUAUUUCAAUCGUGUUGCAUCGCGUCACGUUCUCCCUCGAGAAACGAAAGGAGGGGCUGGCAAUAUUACGAGACGUUCUAAUUAAUUACGAAGCUAUGGAAAACGACGUUACCAUCGCGGUAGCGAGAUCUGUCCGGGAACUUUGUGGAGAAAAAAUAUUUUCCAAUGAGUGAGAACGAUGAAAGCGUUCGCGUUCUCUCGAACGUUUAUCCAAUUUUAGCAGAAGUUUCGCAAACGGAGAAAAUUAACGGAGAAAAUUAACGGGGAAAAAAGACGCGGAACGAAGAGGAAUGGGUGAUAAUUCGCGGCUAGCCAGGUUGAUUCGCGAUUACGCGAAGCAAUAACGUUUCCUUAACGCGACGAAAUUUGCCCUGGGAAAUUCUGCUACUUUGGACCAGCGGAAGGGCCAAUAAUUGCAAUUCCCGCUUCUUCUCUUUUUUUUCCAUCCUCGUCCGCUCCUUUCUCCUCGCAAUAUUCGUGACUUUUGCAGUUUUUGACCGUGCAAUAUUCCCGGGAUCGAGCUUAAUUCGCGAACACCACGAUGUUCCGCAAUUAAUUACAAGCUACGGCCUGUCGCGUUUUUCCAACCUGAAGCGGAGAUUAAUCGAAAAGAGAUCCGAAAUCAUGACGCUCCGAAUGUGUUGGACAAAUAUUUGCUUUUUAAUUUGACAUCGGUUUUGCGAACGAACGUUGACGAAUUUUCCAGAGUUUCUCUAUGGAUAUAUACAGGGCAUCUCGCGAAGAUUAAAAUCCGAUUUAUGUACCUUGAAUACAUCGUAAAUUCAUCUGGUUGGAAGAAGAAAUUUCAUUGGAAGGCUAUUUUUCGGCUGCUAUAGGUCUGGUUGAUAGUACUCGAAAGGAUGGAGGAUAGAAACCGAUACCCCGCAAUUAAUUACGAGUUGGCAAGUACCGAUCGAUCCGGCAAUAUUCGUUCGGCGAAUGUUGCUUCUGGUCUUUCGUGUCGAUUCGACCGGUCAAGUACCUAAGUACACACACCGGCAUCGAAAGCGAUUUAAAGCGGAACGAUCCCACAAAUUUCCGUUCGCUCUCCUCUUGCUAGAACGAGCUUUUGCUCCUGAUCCUUCUGUCGACUGCUCUUCACUCUCCAAAAAAUUUCUGUCAAUUUUUUUUCUCUUCUACGUUUCAUUCAAACAUUUAAUCGAUUGUGUUUUUCAUUCAACGCUCCGUUUAACACUAUCCUCGAAGAGAAAAGAAAAGCAGUCAUGCAUGGUUGAGAAUUUAAAGGCUAGGCGAAAACGUCAGUGGAAUUUCUUUCGGUAAAGUAUCGCGCUCCUUUGCGUUUUAAAUCGAAUAAUAAAUAAUAAACACGUAGCCGGGAGUAGGAAACGCGCCAAGUGGGCUCGGGGUCAUUAUUCUCCGGCCUCGCAUUCCCAGUGACACGAAUUUACACAUUUUGCACAUUGUAUCCACUUUUCUCCGCGCGUGUCACGGAAAUAUAAACCGUUGCAGUAAAUUCACGGACGAAUGCGGCAGACGGUAGUUCUGUGUUAAACUACCUUUCGAGAAACCAUGAAAUUUCACCGAUUUCGAUGAAAUUAUUCCAAGGAUAUUUGAUCGUUCGUACCCGUAAGUAACAUCGAAUUUCGACGUUUUUUUAAUUAUUUUAAACGGCGUACAACGUUCAGGUAAGAACGUGGAUUACGGAACUUUUAAUCUUGAUGAAUAUUGUGUACGAAACCGCGACUGGAAAGUUUCCGAUAAACUCGAUAGGACGAUUAUGCCACCACGGCUAUGGAUUUGCGAAGCUCCAAGAAUGCACGCGAAUAAUGAACGCUAUCGGUUAAGUCGUUCCUAUCCGUAAACUUGCUCUUAUUCCAGUCUUAUGAGAUUAUAACAGAUUUACGGCUGACUUUGCGUCUUAAUCGUCAGUCAGAUUUUAAUAAGAACCUAUUAACACGUUUACCGCGGUCGAUGUUCGAUGUAAUCGAAUAAUUGAAAAACAAGUUUAACGUGAAAACGCGAGCAACGUUAGAUGCGAGAAAUGAAUAAAAUUCCGUCGAAAUUCAGCUGAACGUUUCGCUGCUGCUUCUGAAAUCGAAUCAAUCACUUAAGUCGUCUGGUCGUCGGUAGGAAACUAUCCAAUUACCGGAACGUUGGUUUUCUCGAAGAAACACAAUUUUCUCUGUUGAAGAGCAGAGCGAUGCACUCGUAUGACGGCACGAUCGCCGGAGGCGGUAGAAUUUAAUUAUCAUUUCACACUGAAAGACUGCUUCAGUCGGCGGGUGUACACGAAUGUGUUUUAUUCCCUCGUGACGGCCCGAAUCAAGUGUAAUUACCAGCCUCGUGACCAUGAUUAAUUUGUACGCGUUUUAAUAAUUCGUUGCCUCCUACGCUUUAUUCCAGUCAAGCAAUUAGCGGCGAAAAUGAAUUCGUUAUUAAUUGGAUGUUAACUUGAUAUCGCGACGAAUAUCGAGUACUCGAUACGCUGCGCUGCGCUCGAUAUCGUUUAUUAACGAGAUCUGGUGCAAAACUUUGCAAACUUGUCGUCGACUUGACAUUUUUUCCCUUUAUAAUCAUUCCCAAGGUACCGAUCCGUUUUUCCAACUUGGCAAAUUUGGAGAACUGGAAAUCGCCAUGGGUGAUCGAUAAUUAAUCGAAGGCGCAUUGUUAUUCGCGCGGGAAAGAAAAGGUGAAAAAGUAUCGUAAUUAGCGAUACUCGGCCGGCGCUAUUAUCAGCGAGCAGAGACACAUUAAACGAAACGAGAAUAUUAAUCGAGGCGAAUGAAGAGCAUUCGUGAUUCCGGGUUUUCUUCUUCGAAACCGAAAGAACAACUCGCUCGAACGAUUUCUCUCGAGCAGCCUCCAGAGAUACGGGUUAUUCUACUGGGAUUAAUUUUCAACCUCCUGAAAUUGCAUUGUUUCGCUCGUUUGAAAAACCGUUCGUUUAUACUAGUGCGCCCUCGAACUCUCGCGAAUCUCUUGAAAUUUUCGAGCGGUUCGUGAAUUGAAUAGCUGCGAACGUGCGCUGCAAAUUAAGUUUCUCUUGCGCUUAAUUUGUGGUUCGUUAACGAAGUGAACGAUGACCCGGUUCGUGAAAAUUUUCUCUCGAAGCAUAAAAGAAGACGAAAAUUAAGUAUAUAAAUUUGAACGAGCGAAUAAGAGAAACAUAAGAUCGUAUAUCAAAAAAUUUUGAAGGAUCUUUCGCCAGAAGCAAACCUCUUUCUCUCGCAACGUAUCGAAAACUUUCACGACUUUCCGAGUUUCGAAAGAAAAGAAAGUACUUUCUCGGAGUCGACGAUUCGUCGGUGUGAAAUUCGAUCGGUAUGGGACUAUGAACGAUAACCCGCUGUCAAAAUGUCAAAGAACUGGUUGCAAGGACCGUCGGAGUUCCGGUCGAACGGGAUGGGAAGUCGAGGGGAAUCGAGGAGCAGUUUCGAGGAUGAAUCCAAGUCGGUGAGGCUCGUGCGUUCGCAUAAAUCGCAAAGUUUACUCGGUACUGUGCGUCGUUCCCAGUGAUUCAUAUCCAUUUGGCGAGACGAGUCAUAUUUCGAAAACGAAACAGUCCAUUUCCAGCCUCGAGAUCCGUCGACGCGUGAGUUCACCCAGCGAAGCACCCACACGACCACCCGGAACCGCAGAAAUGACGAAACACGAAUUCGCUCUUGGCUAGCAUACGAAUAACCGGGAAGUGACUGCGGUUUCCGGGCUGCGGGGAUUAAUAGCACGCCGGAAGGAAACUAUUUUUUUUUUCUUUUUUCCUUUAUUCGUGCGGUGAAAAAUUGCCAGUACCAUUUUCGCUCUUAACGCAUCGACAAUAGACGUAACCAUGCUUAAUACUGCACUCGAUAAUAUAGGUUACACAGUUCAAUUAUCGUUUACGCUACAUGUUACUUACCAUUCAUUUCUUAUAUUUUAUUUAACGUUAUCCAUAUUUUCCAUUUAAAUACAGUUUUUUAAAUUUAUUAUUCUUACCAUCAACACUUUGGCCAUUCAGCAUUCAGUAUUGACAGACGUUUUUUCAUGAUGGUUCUUUUUUUUUUUUUGUUGGCACAAAUUUCGGACGCAUUUUUCUGGAAAUUUCACCCGGACAGAAAAGCAUUCGUUUCGGGAAUCGAAACAACCGAUUCGCAUUUUUCGCAUUUUUUCGCAUUUGUCGAGGCGACAAAACGUAAAUUUGUUCGCGCCGUGGAAAAAUAACUGUAACGGUAGCUGCCAGCUAGAAAUCGUUGGGAGUACCUGUUGCAAAAAUGAAAAUUGUUUUUUAUACAUCUCGGUGAUGUUCAACGUACCUUGUAUCGUCGCUGCUUUUCAAGCACCAGGAAAUCUAUGUUUUUAAUUUAUUUCCAUCAUUUUGUUGGGACCAAAGAUAAAUCUAGGCCACGAAACGAUUUAUCGUUCCAAAAUAAAAUGGGCAAACAAUUUCUACCUCAAUGAAAAAUGGAAAAUAAAAAAAGAAAUGGUACACCUUUGUUUAUUAAUUGAUUUUAAUUCUAUUCAGAGAAACAUAAAUGAAAACUAUGACUUUGUAAAAAAAAAAAAAAAAAUAAUAAAUAAAUAAAUCACCUUUCUCGUUGCUUUCGACGCGCAGUAAAAUGCGAAUAACAACGAAAGUGGCUGCAAUUUCGAACAACGGGACUGAAGGGUGUGCCAAAAGGGCGCUACAGACUGCCAACAGGGUUAGAGUUCUGUUCUCUGACCAGAGAUCAGUUCCGCUAGUUUACGAGUUUCUCCUCUCGAAGUGGUGAGGUUAAAGAGGAAAUGUCAGGGGAUGAGUGACACGCGGAAAGGGGUAAACGUGGGGCUGUCUCUCGAAGAGAAACAUAAAAGAGCAAACGAAGGGUCAAGUAAACGAACAGAAAUCAAAUGAACAAUGAACAAUGAAUUACUUAAUUUCUUUAUUUCCAUGGACAGGAUAUAUAAAACGUUUCACCUUGUACUUGUCGUAACGCGUGAAGCAAAAAUGUGGCUUCUACAUAUAAAAUGAAAUUUCAAUCGGAUCUUUUUCUCCUUUCCUUUUCGUCCGAUGCUCUUUUUUCACCGCCAGUGAACGAGCCACUGCUCCUUUAUGGAUUCGCGGGGACACGUAUCGCGAGUACUCUCUAAAUGCUCGUCCAAUGCUAUUUAAUUACCCUUUCGUGCUGGUUUGGCGUGAAGUGGAUGCUUCGAGCCUUCUAACGAAUUUAAAUGCCGUUUCGACGCGCUUUUCGCGCCGAUCUCAAUGAUCCCUUCACCAUUCCGCUUCGAGCACUUUCUUUACUCGCGUUUACAUCUUUUUCCUCUUGUUAAACGACACGCGAGAGAAAAGAAGAAAGUUUUUCAAAUAGCUUUGCACUCGAACGAUCGAGAGGAAAUUAGUUUAUAACGUCGAGUGCAAAUGAAGACACGGCAUGGUCUGUAUUGGCACCGCAACCAUUGCUAUUACGAUGUUUAAUCUGAACCCGUAAAAAUAAAUUUCGACGCUGGACGCGCCACGGUUUGUAUGACCGCGUUAAACGGGUUAUCGUUUCGCGUAAUUUUCCAAAUAUUUGCUCAUCGAUCACGCGGGGAGCACAGACUGUACGCGUCAAUUAACAUUUCCGUUCGUCUCCCGUUCCAUACGCCGCGCCGCUCCGCGCCGCGUGGCUAAAAACCUGUCUGAACCUCAUUUUCCAAAUGGAACUAUUUCACGGCUUCAUUUUGACUGGAACGAGGGUAGUAGGUGGAGGAAAGGGAUGGGAAAUGAUAGGAUGAAUCGUUGGCAGAAAGAAGGAGGAUGAAGAAGGAGCGACGUGGCGGAGGGUUUGAAAAAUGAAUGGUUCGUAUUCAGGAUGGAACGACCAAAAAUUCGGGACCAUUGAAUAUAUACGCCAUACUCUGAAUUAAGUACGUUGAACGUUCAGCUGGUUGCCAGGUUUGCGAAUAUUUCCCUGGAAAAAGGAAGACGUAUCCUUUCGAACGUUUCGUUCCUCUUCCGCGUAAUUAGCACCGGUAUCGCGCUGCUUUGGAUCAUUUCAAGCGUUUUAAAACGGUGUCGAGUAAUUAAUCAACUUCCGCGAGUUUCUGUUCUGGCUGAACAUUUUUACGAUUCUCGUUGGAAAUAAUAUUUGUGCAAUAUUCGACGUUAAUCUAAAUUAAUCGCGGUGUUUCCUCCGAUUCCUUCGAAUUGAAAAGCCGUACAAAAGCGACAAAGUUUCCUGGAAAUUCAUAGUACCAUGGUUUUCCGAGCAAACGAAUUUCCAAGCGGAAUCGUCUGGCAAACGCGGAGCAGCCGGGCUUUUUUCCCGCGGCAGGUUCGUGGAGGUUGGAAAAAAAAUCAUAAUCGCGCGAAAUUUUUCGCGGUGGCAGACUUACGGGGGCGACGAGGAGAGGGUAUGGGGGUAAGCGUCGCGACGCCGGGAGCCGUGCAAAUAUUUGCGGAACCCCGGGAAUCGCGUUUGCCGAAAGUUCGUUAGAGCCGGGCAGAAGGUGGAUUUUCGAAGCGUAAUUGCGAGAACAAUAACGCGGCUGGUGCGUCCGCGAAAUGAGCACGGGUCUCGUUGUUUCUCUACCUCGCAGCGUCCCGACGCUUACUGAAUAGCUGUUGAAUUUUUGGUGAACAUCGUUCCGCGCUGCGUCGUGGCUUCGUUUUUACCUUCUGUCUUUGCUGUUGCAAAAAAACGGAAUGGAAGGUAAAGGGAAUAAAAAAUUUACUCUUACGAUUUUUAAACAUAUUUUCGUGUAUAUCAAUUUUUCUCACGAUACAAGCGAAGAAAACGAAAAAUGUACCCACUCAUUAAAUGGAACCGCAAAGGUCGGUGUAUCGAGUUUCGAUUACCAGCACCUAUUCUAGUUUCGAUUUUCAAUUUCAUCCUAUCGAAUAGCAAUCAAUCUAUCGAUUGUACUCGCAGCACGGACUUGUUACAUCGAACGUUCGUGUUUUCUAGCUAAUCAGAAACAAGCAGCGGUAGACGCGUAUCGAUCGAUCGCGUGUAUCGAACCGAUCGAGCCGGUGCGCACGAAAUUGCUCUGCAAACAUCUUCCCGCGUCUCGCAUGCAAAUGUUCCUCCUCCUCUUCGCAUUUCUAACCCCUUCGAGCUUCCAUCCUACCGAACAGUCCGUUCCCGUUUCAGCUUUCUCUAGCAAAAACGCUUUGCCUCUCGAUCCUUGAACAAACGAAACCAAACCAGGUAACGUAGCAUCGAGAUUCGAAUCGAGACGUUUCGCUUUUUUUUCCCCAAGUCAGUUCGCUUUUAAUUCUUUUCGCUUCUUUAGCUUUGCUAAUAAAAAAAAGCAAGUCCGCGGUUACUUCGAUGGUAAGAAAGUAGAACAACUUUUUACGCGUUUCCAGAUGUUUACUUGUUUCUUGAGUCUAGAGUAAUUGAACAUUUUGGUGCAAGUUCGACGUUGUCUAAUUGAUUUAGCUCGCGGUGUUUUCCUCGCCCGCGAGUGGUUUUUAACUUAAUAAAGGAUGCCUUUGAUGCUGUGCAUUAUCGUAGAAUUUCGUUAUGUCCCGGUGCGGAUGGUGUUACGCACGGAAGACGAUGAACUUGACACACUUUAUACGAUGCUCGGUGUUGUUCUAGAGUAUCUGAAAAUUUGUCGACAAGUUUUUCGUCGCUAAUUAAGAGGAUAAUCGGAGGUGGAAGCGAGCAACGGGAUCGUUGUUAUACCGAAGGAAACAUAGUUUCCGCUCACACGGAGACUCGAUCGCGUAACGAGCAAUUCCCGAUCAGGAGGGUUGCGCUCGAGGCGAUGUCUAUUCACCCGCUACCUCUUCUCUCCUUCACUCUCGACGAUGCGUUCGAUCCUCACUCGUCCACAAGAUCACUCUCGUCCGUCGGCUAUACAAAUUGGCCGAGCUCUGCGUCUCGUACCUUAUUAGCUGACGAUAUGCGAACCGCCCUUUAUUUACCCUUCCUCCCUUUCGAGAAACAAUGCCGGCGCACUCGGUGCGGUGCGGUGCGGUGCGUUUCGUGAUCGAUAGACGCGCACAGAUCGUCGCUGGACAAAAGUCGCCUUGACGCGUGCUCGAAGCGAACGGAACCUGUUAUCUCGACUGUCGUCCGGAGAAGCUUUUCCAGCAGAUCUGCUGGAAAAAAAAAACAAAAAAGGGCGCGACGACGAGUGGGUUGCGAGCAAAGAGAGCGAGAACGAAGGGGUGGCCGAUGGCGAGGCCAGCUGGGACUUAAUUAGUCAAAGCUCUUGCCAGCUUACUUGCGAGUGGCUCAUUAGGGCCGAUGUCGCGUCCCCGUAAUUGGAACGCGCUUCGCGACUAAUUAUGCGAGCGAGGUGUACGACGCCCACGGUGAAAUAAAGAUUUUCGUUUCGAACUCGCUCGCCUUCUAUGGAAUUUAGAAAUACAUCCGUCAGUUGUUCCAUUUUCCUUUUCCACCCUCUGGCUCUUUUUCUUUUCUUUCGUCGUUGUUUCGUUCCGUUGCAGAGGAGAAGUCGAUACACGAACUUACGUAAUUAGCUUUCCUUGCGGGGAUUGCCGUUUAAUUCGACGUCCUGAGAGAAACCGAAACGGAGAAACACGAAUUGGAGCUUGCCGAGGAAAAGAGAUUCGACGCGUUUCAUUUUCUUCCGGUAUUCUGUAACGACUCAAUGUAGAUUUACAUUUUCUUUUUUUUUUCAUGUCUUCUAAAACUGCAGCUUUAAGGUGUAGCAAUUUGUCAUCCGCGUAAACCCUUGGAUAUUGACCUUCAACGUCGACUGGCCAGCCUCGUCAUCGAGUUCUUUAAGCCCGUUUUCACGGCCCGUAAAAUUGCCUAUCGACACCGGUAUCCAACGUUAUCCCUGCUGGCGGCCUUUAAUUAUUCCCAAACGGUUGCCUCGUAUUUCAUCGAGCGUCGAAGGUUGCCUCGUGGCUCUUUCGUCCGGAAUCGUAGUUUGCCCUUCGCAAAAAUCCAUCGACCCGUGCAAUUUUCCACGGUAAAGGUCAGCCCAGCUGCUCUCUAAGCUUCAUUUUCUACCACAUUUCUUGUAAACUUUUGUAAGACGUUGUAUAACAAUAGAAGGGAGAAAAAGCGUAAUCUAGAUCGAAAUGGAAUGGAAUAUAUUCAAAGGGUAUCCUUCGCGUGUAUUAAGAAAAGUUGUGUUUCCGCUUGAAUACCAGGCAAUGAGCUGUUAGAAAAUGAAAGAAGGAUGCGAAAAUCAGGACGGUUUAUCGCGGACUGGUAAAGAAAGGUAAAGAAGAAAGUAAUGGAACGGCGCGGCGCCAGAUAUCGUUGUCCAAUAUCGCGGAACGAUGUUCGCGCGAUUCCUCGCGGAAUUUAAAGCCCCGCAAAACGGCACGACUCGAAAACUUGGGGAAAGACAUCGUAACUCAUAAACGCCGUUCCCGUGUUUUACCGCCUACCCAGCUGGCAAGCAAAAUAAAAACGACCAGCUAGUAUUCUUUAUUUCGUGCCCACUAUUCCGUGAAAUAUUUAAGGUUCUCGUAAAAGGGAUACACAGGAGAAAUAGCUGGUGCAAUAACGAAGACGAGUGCUACUUGAAGCAUCCAAUUUAUUUCCUAAACUGUUUACAACCUUCUGUUUAAAUGUUCCAACAUUUUUGCUCACUUAAUAUACACUGUGUUUCAACAAUUUUUAAUUAACUCGAAAAGCUCGAUAUCUUCAGUUUCUUCUGCUUUUUUAUUCAAAUACUUGAAAGAUAUAUUUUCAAGGGUGCUUUGCCCGAUUUAUCGCCAACACCGCAAAUCACUCUGGAUCACCUGCUGCGUUCACCCCAUGAAAUAUCCUCCGUAUCGACCUCCAUCCCCAUACGCCUUCGUUCUCCCUUGUCUUUUCUUUUUUUUUUUUUUUUUUUUUCACAAAAUACGUCGUUCCAACGUCUUUCGUGAGAUCCUUCCAUCCAAAAUGCCGGUACACCGAAAGCUUCGGAUUACCGUUAACGAAACAAUACAAGGGUUACCAACAGCGGCAGACAGUCUCCUCGUCCCUUUGUCCGAAUCCCGAAAAGCUCGUCCUCCUCUUCCUUGUUCCAUCAGCUUCCCCCCGUUUAUCCCGCUUCUGCUAUCGACUGGUUUGUAAUAAAAUACCGUACGAGCCCUUCCACGGAUUAUAUUGCCCUUUCGCGAACCCCUCCGACGGGAUAUCUGGAUUCUUCGAAGGAUUCGAAGAACCUUGACGAGCGGCAUCGAGUUCGAGGGUGUGCAGGUAUUCGGGAUCGAAUAGGCAGUUACCAAGGAUUAAUCGGUUAAUUAUCGAACCCUUAAGCAAGCCUUUUCGAAGCCUUUACACGAUUGUUUUACCAAUUGGGUUACGCGUUUUCUUCGAAAUCAAACGCUUCCGAAGGAAAAGGAUUCUGAAGGAUUUCGAAAUCGAAUGCGAACCGGUAAUUCGACGUUAACGUUCGUCUAAUUAUUAUCGUUGCUGCUAUUACGGGAAUACCAUUACGGCAGCGUAAUUAUUAAUACGCUGGUAGAGCGGUCAACGUUUUGCCGGUUAAAUUGGACGUUUCGUAAUUCUGUUUCCGUUAUCAUAAUUAUUAUUAUUGUAGUUGCGAAUGUUUCGCGGAGGUUGAACGCGUGUUACAACCACGAUACGAAGCGACGAGCCUGUAUAAUCAGACGUUUUCAGAGCCGCAAAUCGUGACAAUAAUUAUAAUCGGUCGCUUCGACGACACGUGCCUCCUCUUGACGAACGAUUGACAUAAUACUUGUCCAUUUUUUUUUCUGAAAUACCGUAUAAAGCUUGAUUCAUGUUAAAUUCCUGUUUGAAAAGUGCAAGAAGAGCGAGCAUCAAGUCCGAGAGAAAUAUGAAAGACUGCAACGACGAAGGCGAACGCUCUGAGAGAUGCAAAUUCGAAUGCCUGGACCGGAACGAGCGAGUAUCCAGGCCGAUUGUUCGCAUCUCGAGGCGUUCCAUUUUCCUGGGUUAGCUCGUGUUCGAGGCAACGCGAGUCGCAUUUUCAUCGGCUCCUCUCCGAAGCUGUUCCUCCUGUCGCGUUUCUCAAAUACACCGGCUUCUACGAAUAAUGCCCUCCUGUGUUCGACUACUCGUUUGUAAGAAUUUUAAAUUUUAUAGAAUUAUAUCAUCUGGAUUUUAAGCUAGUUUGCUUGCCCGCCAGAAGUCUCAGGCGGAUUUAUCGGCGAAUGCGAUAUACGGUCGCUUAAACGCGCCGCCAACUUUCGCCCGUUCUCUCUUUACGCGACGUGACAGUGCUUUAAUAAAUAUCGUCGUAAGAACGCGGCAAGAGACCGGGGUAUACAAAGACAAAGAGGAGAAGUAGAGGAAGAAUAGAAAUGCACGGCUGGAAAAGGGGGUUGGAAGAGGAGAGGGCGCUUCAGGGGAUGAGAUAAAUUGAAAGAGCUCUCGAAGUUGUCAACCUCCACUGCUGGUCACCCUCUACCGCCCUCAUCUCACUCUUUAUUUCUCCUUUUCUCCUCUUUUUUUUCUUUUCUUCUUUCUCUCCUCUGUAUAAACACAGCCGCGUUGACGUUGCUCCACUGAUUUUAUCCGACUGAAAGAAGAAAAAAGAAAGGUAAAAUGUAGACAGGUAAAGGAGAUAGUAGUUCUUGUAACUGUUUAAUAAUUGUUGUAAAUUAUCGAGAUGCACUCGAUAGUGGUGAUUUGAAAAAAUAUGACGAUUAAAGUUGGCUUUAAACGGGUUUCAAAGCCAGGAGCCAUCGCACGCGUCGAGGUUCGCGCGUUCGGUUAUUUAUUUAUUUAUUCAGUACGCUUCGAACGCUCGUCGCUUCAUGAAUACAAUAUUAGACGCUUUUGCGGCUGCGGUUCCGUGCAAUCCACGGGAAACUUCUCUUCUUCCUGUCGGACUUGGUGUAUACGAAGAGGAGGAGGAGGAGAAUAAGAGGGAGACGGGAGCUGGUGCACCUGUUUGUAUCAAGUUCGAGGUAGUGCCGCUUAUAAUCCAGUCUCUUUCGAGGAGGCGACCUCGAGAGUCUUAAAUCGCGUUUCCUUCAAAGAAUCCUGCAACUUUGCGAUAGAAGCGAGACUGUUCUUCCCGAAUAUUGGAAAUGAAAUAAAGAAAGGGCAUUAGAAAUAAAAUGGUUGUGUACGUUUACCUUGCCCCUAGGGUGAAGCUUGUAUCGAGAAACGUAAAUCCAGCGACGAGACGUUAAGUAAAAGGUAAAAUAUAGCCAGCGAUAUAUUUACGGGAACGUAGAGGGUGGCAGAUUAAAGCCAGGUGGUGGAGUAUAAUCAAUAGGUUCGAAUUGUCUGGCGUGACAGGGUCGCGAUAUCGGAAACCUGUCAAGUUUCGUUACUCGUAUCUUCGACUGUACCAAUUUCUCUCUUCCUUUUAUGUAAUCUUUUGUAUUUUCUUAUCUAUAAUACAAUAGGAUAGCAUAAAAUUCGCGACGGUACGAGUAAACCGAAAAUAUGUAUAGAAUAAAAGGUAAGAAUUUAUCGAUGAUUUGAAAAGUCGCGUUAUUUUCCGCAUCACGCGACGGCUCGGCGCGAGACGUCCGCUUUUGUAAGCGUAAAGUCAGCUUUUCGAGAUAUUCGCAACAGUUGACGGCGAAGAAGCGCGAAGAAUCGUUUGGGUAAAGAAAAGAAGCGUCGGAACCGGGCCGCUUCCAUCCUGUUUCCGGCCGUGCCGACGCGGAAACGCAAUUUUCUCCUGCCUGCCUGCCUACCUUUCCACCUUCCCUCCACUUUCUCGUUAUACUUCAUUCUGAAACUCUAUGAAUUCUCCAGUGUCUUCCAUGGGUUUUAUGGUGAUUUCGAACUGGAAAGCCGCAAAUCUGCCAGUAAUUUUGAUGAAUGAAUAACGAACGAACGAGUUUGUAAUCGCGGCGUCGUUUCGCUUUUCUCCCAAGCAUCCUCCAAAUUUACAUUCUCUAUUUUCUUUUUUCAAUUACUUGGUAAUUAUAACAAACUUGCGGUACCAAUCUCAUAGUAAUCAAUCUGUUAAACGUCGAAUAUUCUAAACGAAGGAAAAAUCGAGCUGAAAAGUGUGCCGUCUGCAAAGGGUUAAUUAAUUUCCUGAUCGUCCAGAGAGCCGGUACGACUGUAAAGGAGGUUCUCGAUAAAAGUUGAACGGAACGAGAGAAUUGCGAUCAACUAGCGGACAACUAUGAGGGUGGAAAGGAUUUCAGUAUGCCGUUAAACUAUCCUCGAGGGCAGAUGACGCAAGAAGAAUUUUCAUUAUGCCGCACCAAAUACAAUCGGUGCGGCAAUCAGGCCGCUUCACCCUCGGUUUAAACUCGUUUCGAGGGUCAAUAAAGAGGAUCUUUCUCUCUCUCUCUCUCUCUUCCUCAUCGUUCCUUCUCUUUCACCGGGAACACCAGCGACCAGCAACCAGUCUCCGGCGACCCUUUCGUGCCCUUUGCCGGGUAAAUCGUGAAACUUGUUUCCGUUAAUGCCCUGACGACCGCGUGGAUCCACUCGAAUCGGCCUUUUACAAAUUGAACGCGACGUCCGCGAGACCAACUCGUUAUUAUGCUGAACGUUCGAGUUUCGUCACGAGCAUCCUUGUGUAAUCAAGCAUCAGCCUUUUAUUCGAGAAUACAACGAACAUUUUGAUCCUCAGUGCCUAGUAAAUCGUUAGUAAAUCGUGUUUCUGCUUCGCGACUCUAUCUAUUAUUUAACGACGGAACGUGUUCCUUUGCUCUUUUCGCUUUUCUCCACGGUCCUCUCUUUUCCAUCAGAGAACGAGAAUAGUGCAAGAACAUCGGGGCAUGUCAGAUCGCCAGCCAUUGUGAUCCGGAUCAAUACGAACGUACGGGUCGCAGCUUUAUCGAGACAGACGAGAGUCGAGCCGAGGAUGAAAAAUAACUCCUGGAAGUACUGUGCAAAAUUUAUUAGGCAUAAAUCUAUCAAGAGUCUGAUCUUUUUCGAACUAUCGAGACGGAUGAACCCUGUAUAUAACGGGUUGCUCGACUAAAAUGGAAAUGAAAAUCUGGUAGAAGCUGAAAUUAAAUUCCAACUAUCAUUGUCUGUGAAAAGCGUAGAAACACAUAGGAAGGAAAACUAGGAUAACCAGAAAAGGAUAGAUCCACGCGAUGACAACGUCGAUCUCGGGAAACACGAUUGUACAGCGUGGAAAAGAACAAUUGAUAAAGGGACAGCUAACGAAACAAUAGAAAAUUGAGAAAUAAUCGGGACACAAAAGAACAUCGAAAUAGAUAGAGAACUGAAAAAAAAAUGGAUUAAGUGAGAACAGAGAGAGGAGAGCAGCAAAGCGUACGGAGUAUAGUAUGGGCAAAAAGUGGCGGAAAGAAAGGGCACACAAAGGGAUAAAAAAAAUAUAUA